RNAcentral lists this ribosomal RNA (468 nucleotides) under uncultured bacterium. RNAcentral's name for it is "partial 16S ribosomal RNA". It matches the Rfam family "Bacterial small subunit ribosomal RNA", at positions 28 to 507 of the family's 1533-position model. The record is from RNAcentral.
GACGAACGCUGGCGGCGUGCUUAACACAUGCAAGUCGAACGGAAAGGCCCUGCUUUUGUGUGGUGCUCGAGUGGCGAACGGGUGAGUAACACGUGAGUAACCUGCCCUUGACUUUGGGAUAACUUCAGGAAACUGGGGCUAAUACCGGAUAGGAGCUCCUGCUGCAUGUUGGGGGUUGGAAAGGUUCGGCGGUCGGGGAUGGACUCGCGGCUUAUCAGCUUGUUGGUGGGGUAGUGGCUUACCAAGGCUUUGACGGGUAGCCGGCCUGAGAGGGUGACCGGCCACAUUGGGACUGAGAUACGGCCCAGACUCCUACGGGAGGCAGCAGUGGGGAAUAUUGCACAAUGGGCGGAAGCCUGAUGCAGCAACGCCGCGUGCGGGAUGACGGCCUUCGGGUUGUAAACCGCUUUCGCCUGUGACGAAGCGUGAGUGACGGUAAUGGGUAAAGAAGCACCGGCUAACUACGUG